Molecule: ribosomal RNA, 320 nt
Filed under: Clostridium perfringens
Lineage: Bacteria; Bacillati; Bacillota; Clostridia; Eubacteriales; Clostridiaceae
Description: partial 23S ribosomal RNA
Rfam family: Bacterial large subunit ribosomal RNA
Source: RNAcentral
GUCGUAACCGGGCUGAAGUCGUACCGUAAGGAGCGGUGGACUGGUUACGAGUGAGAAUGUUGGCAUCAGUAGCGAGAUGUGGGUGAGAAUCCCACAGGCCGAAAACCUAAGGUUUCCUCAGGAAGGUUCGUCCGCUGAGGGUUAGUCGGGACCUAAGCCGAGGCCGAAAGGCGUAGGUGAUGGACAACUGGUUGAUAUUCCAGUACCACUACCAUCGUUAUUAUCGAUGGCGUGACGCAGGAGGAUAGUGUGUGCUAGCUAUUGGAUGCUAGUCUAAGCGUUUAGGCAGUGAGAGUAGGCAAAUCCGCUCUCAUAAUGCU